GCGCUGCAGCGGCGGCUGGUGGCGGACAGCGGGCGGCUGGGCGGCCCCUCCCGCGGCGGGAAUCGCCCGCGCUCCUCCCUGUGGGGGUGGCGGCCCGGAACCCCAGCCGGCCCUGCAGAAGUCUCCGCCGCCCCACGGACGACCUGCUGCCACGGGGCCCAGGCCAGAGUCGCUUGGGGUGACUGUAUCAACGAGCCACCUUGUUUUGUUAAACACACACUCUGCAGUUUCAGGCAACACCUGCCGGUUGCCGUGGCGUUUCUGUGUUGACAGAAACAGAGACACACCGAACCCUUUGAUUUGAGUUGCAGAUUGUGGAUGUGGGUGCCUCACUGCUUUAUCCCGGAAGGAAGGGUGGAGGGCUGCCCCCGCCAUACUCACUUUCCUUCUCAGGUCGCCUGACUUUGGCUAAACAACAGUGUCUGUGUAAGCCUGAGCCACGCGGCGUCCUUUCCCCCUGCCAGGUGACGUGCAAGCAUUUUCAGGAGGGUGAGCAGCUUCUUUAUGCCCCAGGGACCACUUGGGCACACCCUUCUCUCUCUCCAGAGCAGCUGGAACCAUGGAGCUCUGCCCUCUGGUUGCUCGUGUCAGCUCCAAAUCGUGCCAGACGCACGGACGACCGAGAGUGAACUCUCCCCCAGGAGCGCCAUGCAGGAGUCCCAGCAAGAGGAAGAAAGGAACCAGGGGACCGAGAAGACAGCAACCAGGUGUUUGAACCUGACAAGAGGGUUUUAGAACGAUGCUGAGCAUUUGUGCAACCACUGCUUCUCCAUGGGACAUUUGGGGACUCCAGUUGGGUGGGCCCACCCUGAAUAACUCUCAUCCAUACUGCAUCCCCAGAGCAGCCCCUGGGGAUUUGGAAUCCUCCAGCACCUGAAGCACAAGGGAGAGAGCUCAGAAGGCCCUUCUAUUUUUCCUGAACUGAAGAACUUUCAGAACUCUGCAAACCGGAUUGUGUGAAGCUACCAGGAAGGAGGUCCGAGUACCCAGAAACCACCACGGAGAUGACCUCACAAAGAAACCAGUGUGGUGGGGCUCCUGGAGUGCUCACGGGGGCGUUCUCCCUAGAGGGGCAGGCCAACAGGCGCCUUGGCUUGCUUGGUUGAGGUGAACUAAAAUAGCCUGGGUGGUUAGAAAAGAAGUGUGUGUGGAUGAAAGUAUUCAAAUGCUGACAGAUGGACUGGCGGGCUCCCCUCCUGCUGGCCUGGCAGCUUCUUUAUUGAAAGCCUUGCCUGGGCGAUGGAUCUCAGCAGCUCUGUAUGAUUCUGGGAAUAUAAACCCAGGCAGAUGUAAUGGCAGCGAGUCACAGUAAACUGACAGCCGUCAGGAGCUCUGGAGGGAAAUUGGAAGCCAGACUGUCCACUGCACUGAGUAAGCAGCAGGGCCAUCCUGUUGUACAAAACACAAAGAGCGGAGUGUUCAUGGCAAAUCACCAGGUUUCUCAAAAUGGAAGCAUGAGCUGUGCCCACUGAGCCUCAGGCUUUGCUCCAAGGUCAGGGGACAAAAACCUGACUCUUCGCCUCCAAGGGGGUGCGGCAGCAACACACCCAUUCCUCCCAGGGCCUGAGCAGGGGGCCAGGGUUCUGGAGAUCUGCCGCUUCCCAGUGGGGUGAGCAGCCCAGUGCUGUCCAGGUCCCACACCCUCCCUGGCUUGUAAAUUGGGCUCUGCUUUGCUCUGUGAAAAUUUUCUCUGAGCAGUUAGAAACAGUUGGCUCCUAAAUUUUUCCAGUUUAACUGGCUGGGCCAGUGCCUAAGGCCAUGUUCCAGAUCACAGCUUCAAAGAAAGAAAAGAAAAGGUCAGCAGUCCCCACCUCUCCAGGGCUAGUGGCUCUGAGGAUCCAGCCUCACCAUGCUGGACAGCCCAGAGUGGUGUUUCUGUUUUUGCUCUUGCUCACAGGUCAUAGUCAAGCUUAUUAAACUGGGAUGACAGUAAACCAAAGACUAACUGAUAAUUAAAGCCACAAGUCAGGAGGCGUGGGCAAGUCCCUCCUCUGGAAUCUCUAGUGGCCUGAUCAGUAGGCGAAUGCCCCUUGUUCUCCCCACAGCACAAAAGCUUUUGUGAAUAUAAAACCCUCUGCAUGACUCAACCGCCUCGUGAGGUCACUUCUCCACUUGUCCAUUUCUUCAUCUCCCCACCCCACUGUCCUCAUCCAUUACAAGGACGGAGAAAAUCUAACCACAUUCCCCUGACUGCUGCCUCAACAGGAACAUGACAGAAGGUUUCCAACUAAAACCAAAGUUACUCAGCAGAGCUUCCUGCCAGGCUGACAGGCUGGAGUGCAUAGCAUGCUACCCUUGGCUCUUUCUGGUCUAUGAAAUUUCUCUGCUUCAGUCACUUGAGAGCCUCCCCACUUCCUGAGGAGAGCGGACAAGAACUUCAGAGCAGACAAGGCUGAGCUGAGAGGAAUUCUGUUACUUCAAAGACUGGUUCUCCUGCCAGUCUGAGGUUCUUGGUGAAUGUCUGUCUCCCAUUUCCGACACAGGGUGAAGAGCUACUGAAGUUGACAGUGUCCCCAAAGGUUAAAUACAUCUUGAGAAAUUGCACACAUCUCAUAUAACCAGGAAUGAAUGUUACCAAACCUCUUGUCUCAUCUACCACCUUAUCAUCUGUGAUUAGCAGACUAAGACAUAGCAAACCAGGAGAUCUGGAGACCAAUGAAGACGUUUGAGACAAAGAAAUCCAAUGGAGUUCUAAACAAAGAUGAGAAGUAGAAAGAUGGUCAUCCUGUGAAGUGGCCCCCAACCUCAGACCUGCCCUAGGUGUUACCACCCGCCUCUGGCCUUGUGGCAGGGUGUUGAAGAUGCUCGGGCAUGUCCGCUCUGGACGUCCUGGCCAGGGAGGAAGAGGAAGCAGUCACUGGGGGUGAGCUCAGCGAGGCAGGCAGAAGCAGUGGUGACAGUGAGCACAGUGCACACCAGGGGCGACUGCAGGGAGGUGGCUUAGGACAGAGGAAGCCGCAGAGUGGACUACCUCUGCUGUGGCAGUGGCUUUCUUCUCCCUGCUGUCCCCCAAACACAUUCCAAUUAGAAAAUAGUAAUAAUUGUGCAUAGCUCUGAAGGCAAGUCCAGCAUUCCUGUGUGUAUGUCCAUAACUGUAUGUAAGUCCCACCAGAUUUUUGUUCCUGGGGAGAAAUAUAAGCCACAAACAUAAUGUUGCCUUUCAGUGUUGAAUCACUACUACUUAAGAAGUUAAAGAAAAAAGUGUCAUCAAACCCUCUAUUACCAGCUACAUUUAAGUGAGACCAGUGCAAGGUCCUGCCAGCAGCUGAUGACCAUUUUCCAGAAGGGAAUGCUGGGCGAGAGAGGCCAGUAUUGGGAUGAGGAUGAGAACCACCACUUUGGUGAAGGGUCUUGUUUGUUUACUUGGUUUGUUUGUCUAUUCAUUUAUUUUAAAAUAUUUGAAAGCCUCUGGUUUAUACACAGAUCACCUACUUGAAAUACUACCAAAUGGUAGCAUUAUGGUGAGAGAGAAUUCAGCCACUUUCUGGCCAGUAAUGAGGGUUUCAUUUUAUUCUACUUUUCCAGAGUUUAGAAGUCACUUUGAAGUGAACUCUAAAGAAAUCUUCCCUGGUAUCCCUUGGGUUUGCUGAUCCUAAGACGGGGACCAUGGGCAGAUCCCCUAACACACACUCUGGGGGUUAAGUCCCUGUCCCCCAGGGCACGUGCUGCCAAGGAACCAGGGCCCUCAGCCAGGAGGACUAUGUGUUGGUCAUGAUGAGCCAUCUGGCUGCCUGGGGAAAAGAGCCCUUCGGAACUGGUGUCUGAGACAUUGCUGCCAUCAUCCCUGACCUUUGCCAAGGAGCAGGUUUGAUUUUAUCCAGAAUGGCCAGUCUGGCGGUAAGAAAGGUAAAUGUUCCUUAGAACAUUUUCAGGGAUUAGGCUUAAAACCCUCAGUCUCCAAACUGAACAUUUUCUUGAGCUGUAGGACCUACACUUCACCUGGAUUGUUCUGGGACCUCAUCCUGCUCACCUGCCUCCCCAUCCAGAAGGAGGGGGUCUCUACCCAUCUCACUGUCCUUGCUUAUGUCUUGACCAAUCAUAAAGGCUUGGCUUUUGGUCUUAAAUAAAUGUACAAUUUAAGUAAAAAGAUAAUUUAAUAUACCUUGUAGGAGAAGUCCUUCAGCAAGUCCUUGCUUCGAAAUAAAAUGUCACCCACAAGGUUUUUCUACAUAGAAAUUCUGGAGCCACUGUUCAUCCACUAUGACAUGUGUCAUGAAUAAAUUAUUCCUGAUAGAGUACCAAAGUAUAUAAGUGAUUUACCUUUAAAAAAUAAAUGAUAGCACAGGGUUG
Molecule: long non-coding RNA, 4290 nt
Organism: Manis javanica (Malayan pangolin)
Lineage: Eukaryota; Metazoa; Chordata; Mammalia; Pholidota; Manidae
Source: RefSeq, a predicted model, not a curated record